AAAAAGAGCGCUUAAAGAAUGCUUCAAAAUUGCAUAAAUUGCAUUAAUUAAAAAUAAAGAAAUGGAGCUCCAAAGGAGACAGUUUGGGGUGUUUUUUUUUAUAGGAAAUACUUUUAAAAUACUUUUAACUUUCCAUGCAAAAAAAAUCUCAUAGCAGCAGAUCUAAAUAUAAAGAGGCUGCCUAUUGGGCGCCUUUUAACCUUUUCUUUCUUUUUAUUUGAUUCCCAAAAAUUCUCCUAGAAAACAAAUCAAAAUGCACACAUCGAGGGUUACAUUUUGAAAAUAAUUUCCGCUUCGACAAGUUCUUCAUUUGACAAGUGCCCGUGCACCCCACUGUGCCACUCCUCCGCUUUAAGCUGUCCUCUUCCAAGCGAGAGCGGGAGGGCAUCUACUAUGUGAAAUGUUGCUCCACGUAUCCUGCAGCAAUUCGUAAACUAAUUCUACAUACGUGCCCGUGCCCGUGCUCGCUGCCUGCUCCUUUUUUUGGGGUUCCCGCAGAGCAACCAAAUCGUUACGUGCGUUGCCCGGGCACUGUCUCUGUCUCUCUCCUGGCUGUAUGUGCGUCAUGUUUUGAUUGGCGUCAUGUACACGAAUGGAUUCGGAACGGUUACGGCAUGGCAGUGCAGCAAAGGCAAAGGGAACCGGAACCAUUUUUUGCUAAUAAAUAAUUGCAUUUUCACCUCAGGAACCCACCGACAGACGUUGCCCGGCGGGACUGCAGUCUCUGGGGGGAGUGACACAAUUCAAUUUUCCGGCAUUUCCGUAACGUCUGCACGAAGGGGGGAGGUGCUGCAUAGAUAAGACAGCGCGGAGCGGGAUAGAGAAUUUGCCAUUCCAUUUCUGAUUUCAUAUUUUGCUGUCACUGUGAAAUGAUUCAAUUUUACAGAUUUCUGACACAGGGCACACACACACACACACACACACUGACGCAUUUUGCAUCUGUGUUUGUGUAACAUUUUUUGUUGCAUACGCAAGAGUCGUCCUCGUCCUCGCACUCCUGCUCCUUUUUGUUUUAUUUUGUAUUUUGCCUGGCAAUCAAAGCGCCACAUUGGAUGAUUGACAGGCGAAUUGGUAUUUCCUUUUGUUUUUUGGUUGAGUUGAUAUCUUGCAGCUGUGUAUCUAUGGUUAUGCCCCAGACAUCUAUUGCCACUGCCCCUCUUUGCUGUCAAAAUGUUCCCGAUUGAAGACAUUAAAAAUUCGACUUUUUGAUUUAAAAAUUCCAUGAAAAAACUUGAACUCAUUUCAGCUGUGAUUGAUUCAAAUUGAAUAUUCAGCGGCAAAGAGAAAAAUGC
RNAcentral lists this long non-coding RNA (1292 nucleotides) under Drosophila guanche. The record is from RNAcentral. Lineage: Eukaryota; Metazoa; Arthropoda; Insecta; Diptera; Drosophilidae.